Molecule: ribosomal RNA, 198 nt
Filed under: uncultured bacterium
Lineage: Bacteria
Description: partial 16S ribosomal RNA
Rfam family: Bacterial small subunit ribosomal RNA
Source: RNAcentral
GUCUGCAACUCGACUACAUGAAGCUGGAAUCGCUAGUAAUCGCGGAUCAGAAUGCCGCGGUGAAUACGUUCCCGGGUCUUGUACACACCGCCCGUCACACCAUGGGAGCCGGAAAUGCCCGAAGUCUGUGACUCAACCGAGAGGGGAGAGCAGCCGAAGGUGGAGCUGGUAACUGGGGUGAAGUCGUAACAAGGUAUC